Molecule: non-coding RNA, 95 nt
Organism: Pelobates cultripes (western spadefoot toad)
Lineage: Eukaryota; Metazoa; Chordata; Amphibia; Anura; Pelobatidae
Source: the annotation of a GenBank genome assembly
UGUGCAUCAAGUAGGUAGUGCACACCCAGGUGCUACUGCAGUUUAUUGUCCUCUAAUAAACUGCAGUAGCACCUGGGUGUGCACUACCUACUUGA